GUGGGAAGGCAUGGUGGAACCUUCAAAGGUUCUCAGUUCUUGGUAGCCAGGAAACAGAGCACAGGGGAAGAGCCACAGAGGGAGGAGCCAGGGACCACGUACAGUUUCCUUAUGACCCUCCCAGACUCAUCCAGAAAUAGUCUUUACUAACACCCUUUGCAUCUCUGAAACCAAUCAAAUUAACCAUGAAAUUAUCUAUCAUGGGUCCUGUUCCCUAACAUCCUCCAGUGGGACAAUCAUAUGCACAAAGGACUCAGAAUGGAGUUAUGGCAGCAGAACUCAUGUGAGAUACACCUAGUGCCUGUAUGUGGAGAAAAGCUUGUAUAUGUUAUGUGAACUUGAAUUGGAUUGGAUCGCCUGAACUGUAGCAAUCCAGCUUCGUCUUUGGGAUAACAACUUCCAGGAUGGAAAGGAAUAAUAAUUUGGUAAGAACCUGGAUCUGUGGAUGAAUGUGUAGCCCAUCAAUACUGCCAGACAGGACAAGGUUACUGGUGGCCCAAGCUUGACAGAGAAACACUCCUUCACUGUUCAUGCCUCUUGUCACAUUGAUGCAACAGUGAAACCUUACCCUAGACUUUGCUCAAAGAAAAAAUAACUCUUGUGGAUCCAGUCACACUUACCUCCACCCACU
This 631-nucleotide long non-coding RNA is filed under the name Fukomys damarensis (Damara mole-rat). RNAcentral describes it as "lncRNA (ENSFDAG00000023208.1)". The record is from RNAcentral. Lineage: Eukaryota; Metazoa; Chordata; Mammalia; Rodentia; Bathyergidae.